Molecule: transfer RNA, 63 nt
Filed under: Coleomegilla maculata
Lineage: Eukaryota; Metazoa; Arthropoda; Insecta; Coleoptera; Coccinellidae
Description: tRNA-Gly
Source: RNAcentral
CAAGGGGCCCUAUCAUGAACUUUUUAGGAUAAUAGUUAAAUUAACAUUUAAUUUGCAUUUAAA